Hevea brasiliensis (rubber tree) is the source of this 394-nucleotide long non-coding RNA. RefSeq lists it as uncharacterized. The record is from RefSeq and is a predicted model, not a curated record. The transcript has 2 exons. Lineage: Eukaryota; Viridiplantae; Streptophyta; Magnoliopsida; Malpighiales; Euphorbiaceae.
UAUAUAUAUAUAUACCCAACAGCUCCAACAUCUAUGGACUAGUACUUGGGUUCGUUGUCAUCUUUAGAGCUGAGGAAGGAAGAUGAUGAUGGUACUUUUGAAGAUGAGAAGAAGAUUUCUAAGAUGUCAUCUUUCAUCCAUGUUUAAGGGGAUUACUGAUCUUCUUGGCAUAGAGAAUUAGGCUUGGAGCUGUGGCCUAAAGAUCCAUAAUUUGGAAGGUGAAUUAACUUGAGGAAAUCCAACCUCUAGGCAAGUCUGAUGCUUGGCUUUGAAUUAUUCUCUCCUUUUCUUUUUCUUGCUCUUUCUUCUUUGGUUUUCUUGUUCGGUUGCCAAGAAGAUGGAGGAAAAAUAAAACUACAUAUUACAUGUUAGAAUAUUUCCGAGAUUUUAUUUC